RNAcentral lists this unclassified non-coding RNA (197 nucleotides) under plant metagenome. Its description in RNAcentral is "partial contains small subunit ribosomal RNA, internal transcribed spacer 1, and 5.8S ribosomal RNA". The record is from RNAcentral.
UCACCGUUGGUGAACCAGCGGAGGGAUCAUUACCGAGUGCAAACUCAUAACCCUUUGUGAACCUAUAUCUGUUGCUUCGGCGGCUCGCUCUCGGGCGAGCCCGCCGGUAAUAUCAGUAUCUCUGUUUGAACCCGACGAUACUUCUGAGUGUUCUUAGCGAACAGUUAAAACUUUUAACAACGGAUCUCUUGGCUCUA